Molecule: ribosomal RNA, 327 nt
Filed under: uncultured eukaryote
Lineage: Eukaryota
Description: partial 18S ribosomal RNA
Rfam family: Eukaryotic small subunit ribosomal RNA
Source: RNAcentral
CCCUUAGAUGUUCUGGGCUGCACGCGCGCUACACUGAAGCGUUCAACGAGUAUUUCACCUUGCCCGGGAGGGUUGGGUAAUCUUUUUAAAACGCUUCGUGAUGGGGAUAGAUUAUUGCAAUUAUUAAUCUUCAACGAGGAAUUCCUAGUAAGCGCGAGUCAUCAGCUCGUGCUGAUUACGUCCCUGCCCUUUGUACACACCGCCCGUCGCUCCUACCGAUUGAGCGAUCCGGUGAAUAAUUCGGACUGCAGCAGUGCUUGGUCCUCCGGGCUUUGCAGUGGAAAGUUUAGUGAACCUUAUCACUUAGAGGAAGGAGAAGUCGUAACA